AGUUUGACUGCCAAUCACUUCAAGGUUUCACUACUCGUGGUCUUAUUUUGGUUGCCAAUAUACAAGUUCUCGACUACAAAGCAGGAUCUCAACAACAUGCGAAGCCCCGGGGCUCUGGAGUUCAGCGCCGACCCCCCCCCGCGGUCACACGAGUUCCUCCCUCCCCCUCUGGAACAGCGCUCUGCGCAGCGAGAAACUUGUGAUACAUCAGGCAAUGCAACUCAAAGAGGAUCACGUUUUUACAUUUAUUUUCCACCAGAAACCUGAAAGUCACAAAUAAAAGCAGAAUCAUUAAUUUCCUGUUUACUCCAUUUAUUUUUCAGGUCCAUCGGUCCACUGGAGAGAAAUGACAGAGAAAUCGGCGAGUCAAGGAAAAGAGUUUUGCCCCACCCGCUAUACGACAGGUCUUCACACCUCAUCCUGGACCGGUGCAGCGUGGGUAGCUCUCUAAACACACACCGCACCGACUGGGGUGAUCUGGCGCUCCGUUACACACGAGGGCGGCACUGUGGUCCACGGGACCAGGGGUGAAGACCGGAUCUCGACAAACGCACAAAGCGGGUUCCGUUGCGUUUUCCUCGCGUGUGGGUGGGCAGCCGUGCUCCACGGGGCCACGUCGUCUGCCGCUCUCAGCUUUACUCCGGAGGAAAACCAGAGCUGAAGUGCAGAAAUAUUCUUUAGGGAGAAGAACGCACAGGACCACAUUAUUCUGGCUUUUCAGACACCUUGACAGAAGACCAGACAAAUCUUACAAGAGACGCAGCCGACAGCUAAAAAAGCUUGAGAACCUGAGAGACCAACUCAAAGGAAGGACCACCAAUUUUAGAGGAGAGCCUCCGAACCACCAGGGCCGGAGGACGUGAGGACUUUACAGGUUCAUUCUGCGCAUCACAAGUGGCCCCGGCUGUCAUUAUAGCAGCAAAACGGACCACAGGCAGCUCGUCCUUUGGCCGCUGUGAUCAAAUCACAGCGCAGAGAGAGAAGAGUCAGUAGAGGACGCGACCCUACAAGGACAAUCGAAUUUGGUGCUCCGUGUGAAGUGGAAUAAAACACCCCGAAUUCCACGGUAUGACUCACGUCGAGCAGCACGCAAAGGACAAACAGGUUAACAGCAACAGAAAUUAAAUAUUUGCAUUCUUCUGGAGAUCAGUUAGUUCCGGCCUCGGAGAACGAGCAACAUAUUACAUAGAAACAAGUCACAGAAUAUCAACUUUGUCUUCCAAUGGAAAAACAUUUUGAGAAACAUCUGAGCACAGCUACUGACACAGCACUAUCAGGGUGGAUUUCUGCAGUCAUGUUACUGCUUCUUUUACGACCAAGCGAUACAUACAUGUUGUACAAUUAUGCGGUUACAUCAAUAUAUUGCAAACGUAUGCAAGAAUCAACAUUCAGACAGCAAAAUGUAACGGUGACCAACCGGUCUUACAGUUAAGAUGAGUGUAAAUUGCCCAUUCAGCUUUUGAUCGCUUAGCUAAGGUUACUAGUGAUGUCAACUAUGACCCCUGGUCAUUGAGUGCUCACAACCACACACGCAUUCAGCGGACAAGAAAAGAAAAUAUCAGAUCGAAGAAUCUCCCUUUCAAUCCAUUUUUUUAAAAACCAUUUUCUCCCCCUUUCAUUACUCAAACCAUCAAGUUUCUUUGCCUCUGAAGACACAAAAUGAUGCAUUAUGUGGUUCUCGCAUUUUUACUGCUCUAGGAUGUUGUGUUUUCGCAUGAUGAAGAACACAAUGGAUUUUAGAGUUAUGAUGCAAUGAUUGGUAAAGUCGCAUCUUACAUAUACGUAAUCUACAUUAGGAGGCGACACCAUUUUAUCGAGAAAAGUAGAAUAUUAUAUUUCCAGGAGGGAACAAUGUCCUGGUGUCCUGCACACUAAGAGGGCUAGCGAUCCUACACUGGUCCUGAGGAGGCUCAUGACACCACCAGACACCCCCUUAGCAUCCCUCUGGCAGAAUGUGAAUAUUGCAAAAAAACCUGUAUUCUGUCUAUAGGUGUUUUUACUUCAAGAACUGUUUAUCUGGUGAAAUUACUGUACACUUUCUGGUAAGUGUACUAUUACAUUAACUAUUAUUCUUUUACAUAAAUUUAAUAUUCUUUUACAUGAAUUCAAGCUGAGACCUCUGAUGUCAUAUCAUAAGGUUUAUAAUGGUAAACCAGUUAUAUGUAGUUUAUGUCUCAUGCUGUCUGUCCCCCCAGUCUCCAUGUAAGCUGCGACUUCACUGACACAAACAGUAAUGUCAUUUAAAAUAAAAAUUUAAAAAAAAAAAAAA
Scleropages formosus (Asian bonytongue) is the source of this 2269-nucleotide long non-coding RNA. RefSeq lists it as uncharacterized. The record is from RefSeq and is a predicted model, not a curated record. Lineage: Eukaryota; Metazoa; Chordata; Actinopteri; Osteoglossiformes; Osteoglossidae. The transcript is spliced from 2 exons.